This 732-nucleotide unclassified non-coding RNA is filed under the name Hevea brasiliensis (rubber tree). The record is from RNAcentral. Lineage: Eukaryota; Viridiplantae; Streptophyta; Magnoliopsida; Malpighiales; Euphorbiaceae.
CUUAGCAGUCAUGGUGAAGAUCCCUCUUGAGUUAACUGCUUUUUUUCUCUGCUCCAUCGUGCUCUUUAUAUUUAUCCGAGCAAGGAGAACCAAUAAGCCCAACCUGCCACCCGGUCCCCGGCCCUUACCGCUCAUUGGUAACCUCCACCUCCUCGGCAACCACCCCCACAUCUCCCUCCAGCGUCUCGCCAAACUCUACGGCCCCAUAUUCUAUCUCAGUCUCGGCGAAAUCCCCACUGUCAUCAUCUCAUCAGCCCGUACAGCAAGGGAGGUCCUGCGUACCCACGACCUCCCUCUCUCGAGCCGCCCCAAGAUCUACUCAGCCAUGAAACUCUUCUACGGCUGCACCGACAUCGCUUUCUCCCCAUACGGUCCCUAUUGGCGUCAUGUCCGGAAAAUUUGCAUCCUCGAGAUGCUCAGUGCGAAGAGGGUGGAGUCGUAUGCCUCGUCCAGAGCCGAGGAGGUCUCACGUCUGGUCGACCGGGUGGCGGCAUCACCGGAGACGGUGGAGCUGAGUGGAGUUCUUGGUCUGUAUGCGAACGGGGUGUUGUGUAAGGCAGCGUUCGGGAAAGAGUUUGUCGAAGGAGGGGACUAUGAGAGACGUGGAUUUGUAAAGAUGCUGGAGGAAUACCAGGAGUUGCUCGGAGGGCUCAGUGUCGGGGAUUUCUUUCCAUCGUGGGAGUGGAUUCGUGUAGUGACAGGGAUGAAGAGGAGGUUGGAGUGGACUUCCGG